GGGCGAGGGGGCUUCCGCCCCUGCCUCCCCGCCCCCUAUAAAAUUCCAUGCGCCCCUUUGUUCUGCCGCCAUCUUGUCCACGCGGGCACCGGCAACGGAUGCUGCUCUCCACUGCAGCCACCACGCAGCAAUAAAAGUUCUCCAGCCAACCGCAGGGCAGGGUGUGCCUUCCUUCGCCUCUUUACCUCCUCCCAGUGUCAGUUACACAACGUGGCAGCCCACGCGGAGGCUCAGCGCUAGAGCCUCCAAACCAGCGGCAGCCCCAGACUCCCGUGUGAUACGCUGAGCCUAGCCGGGCUCCCUGAGCCACUCGGGACUGGGAAAAAAGAAUGCAAUGCCACACUUAAUAAUGGACUGAGGUUCAAUGUGGUUUUAAAGUGCUGAGAGUGCACAAGAGGCUGGAAGGCAAUACUGCUGACUCCAAGUGACCCAAGAGAUAUUCCUGACCAAAUGGUGUCAUGCUGGUAUCAUGUAUAUAAAGCUGAAGGGAAGAGGGAGAAA
This is a long non-coding RNA of Vidua chalybeata, 501 nucleotides long. RefSeq lists it as uncharacterized. Lineage: Eukaryota; Metazoa; Chordata; Aves; Passeriformes; Viduidae. The record is from RefSeq and is a predicted model, not a curated record. The transcript has 2 exons.